GGUGCGGUUUCUGGCCCCAGUCUUGGUUGAAGUUAACCUCUCUUCUAACCAACUUAGAGCUUCGCUCCAAAUCCUUUGCCCUUAUAACGUACUUUUUAGAUUUUAUGGAUUCAGCCCAGCCAAAGGCCUUUUGUCAGUCAAGCAUUUUGAGGAUGUGAGAAGCUUCCAGAAGACAAGGUGUUUUUGUCUUUUUUCCAUCAAGUGAUGAGGAAACAAAAUGGUCAUAUGGCUGUCACCGAACAGGACAGCCCUGCACAUUCCUGUUAGAGAUGACAGAAGGAAGGCUGUGAGUCACUUUAAGAGCCUUCCUGGGAUGCAGGCGCCCUGAGUCGCAGGGCCAGGCUCUGUAACCGGGCGUCACUGCCCAUCCUUCUCUCACGGCCGAGAGCAUCCCUUCUCCCUGAUCCCAGGAAGCACCAGGACGAUGACUCCCAGAUCUGGUUAAUGCCCCAUGCUCAUGGGAUAGGUGUGUAUUUUCAGCCACAACUGUACCUGUGAUAGGAGUGUUCGCAGCGCAAGAAGACGCCCUUGACUUGCCGCUUCAUGUAGUGGUGACCGAUCUGCCCAGGAGCCUGUUGGAAAAGACAAGAUCUGGGAGCGCCAGGAACUGAAGAUCUGCCCAUCGUGCAUGCACAGCCCUCGAUGCGCCGUGUCUGUUUGAACCCUUCUUACUUAACUCUGAGAAACCCCACCUCAUUCCUUGUUGUGCCGGAGAAGAACCUCUGAAACUAAUCCGUAACAUGUGAGAAUCACAGGAUCCCUUCAUAUCUCCUAAGAAGACAGUGUCUGGUCCCGAACAGAAAAGCACAACAGUCAGUCGCUCCCUGCUUCCUCAGGGCGCUGUGGAGGAGGCUCGAACACGGGCCAUGGAAGAAGGAGAGUCUGGACUGGACACCUGACCACCACGUAUUUGCCACUGCAACUCGCCACCUUGCCAAACUCUUUUAUGCUGCUCAUACCUGUGGUCAAGUGCAUAUUUAGACUUCCACAAUGACUCCUGUGUGCUAACUGGAGAAUGGCCUGGAUACUGAGCUCUAUUCAGAAACACUUGGAGCAGGGUGGUGCCCGCAGGGGACUGUGCUGACCUACACCGGCCACACGGUACAAGAGCCAAGUGUCAAGUAGGGGAGAGCAAAGAUGUACUUGAAACCUGGAGGAAAACCUGGAAUGGAGUUUGUCUGUCACCACCUCCAACCCCAGGGAUGUCGGUGCCCUUCACCCCAGAAUGCUCACACAGCAGGCCUGGGACUCUGAAAUCAAAGCGGGCAGCCUGGAGGGAGCUGAACUCGCUGUAGGUCUGGCACUGCCAGGGGACCAGUGACGUGUGCGAGCAGCAUGACACAGACUUGGACUCUAAAGGCAGCAGCUCCUUACUUUGCUGUCCGAUGUUCUACAGAGUUCUCCUGUGCCCAGUCCUAACCCCGGCCAACGCUAGAAAAGGGAUCCCGGAAGCAGUUCUGGCAUAACUAAGCUGACGUGGUACAAAGCCACUACAUGGGCACCAAGUUCAUGGAAUGAGAUGAGCUGGGGGCUCGGCACUGACUUUCUCUGCUGUCACGGUUCACCUGUUAGAAAUGUUUCUACCUAUAAUGCUUGGUGGAUGCCCCUGGUUACAACAUCUGCUCUUGGAUGUUCUUCGGGGGAGGUGUUUUUUUUAAGUUUAUUCAUUUUUGAGAGAGAGAGAGA
Long non-coding RNA from Suricata suricatta (meerkat), 1686 nucleotides. RefSeq lists it as uncharacterized. The record is from RefSeq and is a predicted model, not a curated record. Lineage: Eukaryota; Metazoa; Chordata; Mammalia; Carnivora; Herpestidae. The transcript is spliced from 10 exons.